Helianthus annuus (common sunflower) is the source of this 3527-nucleotide RNA transcript. RefSeq lists it as uncharacterized. Lineage: Eukaryota; Viridiplantae; Streptophyta; Magnoliopsida; Asterales; Asteraceae. The transcript has 8 exons. The record is from RefSeq and is a predicted model, not a curated record.
CCUAAAUUUUUAUCUCAUUGUUCUGGCCGUUCAAUCCAUUUCGCAAGGAACACGGCCUCCUAACCACCAAGAAUCACAUCAACAAUCAACCUAAUAUGGUGUUAUUCAUUGAUUCUUGCUACCAAUUUCUAAUUCUCGAUCCUAGCCUGAUUACUUCUCUGUUUGAUUCUUCAAAAUGCUUUAAUCAUCCAAGAAGUCUGCCUCUAAGGCUACCAAAUCAACGGAAAAAGGUAGCUUUGGUUUUUGGUUUGAUUGUUGUAUACUCUAUAGGUUAAUUUCUAUGUGUAUUUUAGAUUUUAUACAUGUAUUUAAUGAUUUAUAAUGUCGAUAUCUGAUUUGUACCUUUAUGACAAAUCGGUUCUGGUGUCUUUCAUGCGUUUUUGGCAUUUGGGAUUUUUAGGGUUCUGAUGCUAUCAUCUCCAAUCGUAGGCUAUCGGAAGCUGAUGCUUUCAUGUAGUUGUUUUGCUUUGUUGCCUGCAUUACUCAUUGCACUAGGUAUUUCGUUACAGUUUAAUCUAAGUAUUUGGGAUUCCCUAUCCGGUUCGGAGGAGGUGUCAAACCAAAUGGCGGAUAAUACUAUGUCAAGUCUGGUCAACUGGGUUGCGUACAGUCACUGAGUCCAUAAUUGAAUUGCUGGAAUCUCAGUCCAUAGUUUCACUUUUUGUCUGUUGGAUGAUGCUUUGAUGAGUUUUAAAGGUUGUGAUGAUAAAUUUCAAUGCGUCUGAGUGAAAUUGGGCAAAGAUGAGAUUGUCCGCAUCUUGGCAGGGCAACCCGGAUGGUCAUGUGGUUUCACAUGGCAACUGUAAGUAUGUAGCCAUGGCGGAUUCAACCAUUCUGUUUGAUUGUUUACAAAUCUGAGCCUCAUAAUCGUUAUAUAACAUCAACAACACUACCGGUAUAUAUCUGUUAUGUUUUUGGUACUUUCAACGAUGCCAGCAGCACUGAAAGCACAAAAACGAAUUUGACAAUGAUGAGGAACUGGUCCCAAAAUUAAACAGUAGAUGGAAGAGGCGGCUUUUUGAUAUCUUACAUGAUAAGCUGAAGAUACCCAAUAUGCUUCUUAUGGCAGUCUUCUCUCUGAACCUAAAGGCAUGGACUGUAUUUAUCAUGUGGUUUAUGUUGGCACCUAUUGCACACAAAUGGGAUGUACGACCUUUAGAUAUACUCGGAACUGGUUUUGCCAUCAUCUUUGUGAACCUUGGAAAGCGUGAGCAAGGUGAUAUGAGCGCUUAUUCCAUCUUCAAUGAAGAUUUUAGAGAGCUCCCUGGGACUUUCAAUGAGGAGCGAGUCGAUAGAGAUAUUCGACCAGUCUUGAGCGAAGGAUGACACUUUGCAACCAGUGCCUCAUUGGGUAAAGUUGGGAAAUUGGGGUUUGAAAGAUGAAAUAGCUGCAACUUAGGGUAUGCAGAUAAGAAGACGGUCGCCAACGGGCUCCUUUGCAUAAUGUUUGUUCGUUCGAGUUUUGGAUGCAAAAUGAAGGGAAUACUCCUUGAAACAUACUAAAAGAUAUUGUAUGGAACAAAGAUACAGAGGUUACAUAGGUAUGUGUUGUAUACACGAAAUCAUGUUUUUUUCUAUGGCAAUGUUGGGUUCUGAACCUGCAAACGCAUGGUUAACAGACUCGGAAUUACUUGUAUUAUUCUGCGUAAUUAUUGAACACUUGGGUUUGGGGGUGUAUUUGAUGUGGAUUUUGGAGAUGGUUAUUUGAUGUCAUAAUUAGAUAAUAAGCUGUAGUAAAAUUAGUGCAGUAGUUUUGUUGAUAUUCUUAGGAGGCUGAUGUGGAUACAUCUUUCAUUUUAUCCAUAUAAUGGCAUCAAUGAACAUGAUUCCCUACGUUCAUACAUAUGUAGCGUUGGCAAAAGAAAUGUCAGCAACCGCUGGGAGUUGUGAUGUUCGUGUUGUUGUUGAUAAAUUGAAGCCUUACAAAAGGAAGACAUCAGGUUAAAGUUUCUAUGUUUGAAGAGAUUCCGUUUAUCCACUUUUUGAUAAGGCUUCUAGAAGAUAUGGUCAAUUCAGGUGGUCGACGCAGGUACAAAGCUCUCUGCAUGAAGUACAUCUACCUUUUGGAACGAAGUGAUAGCGAAGAACAUGAUCCUUUUCAGGUAAAUUACUAAAUUCACCGCUCUUGUGAACUUAUGGCAUAUACUUUAUUGCCAACAUUUCUUACUUGUAAUAUAAAGUUUGAUAAUUAUUCAAGUAUCUGAGUUAAAAGGCAAUGAUAAAAAUAAAAUGCAUUACAAGUGUCAUAUAGUCACAGUAGUCAAAGGCGCAAAGGCUCACAUGCCCAAAUUAUGUCCAUAUUUUGCAAAAAAAAUCAGUAUGAACAAGUCUAAAACAUCUAAAGUUGGCCUGAAACAUCUAAAAAUGGCAUGGAACUGGCUUUAACCAGUAUAAACUACCCUAAAACAGCUUAAAAUGGCAUGUUUAUGUGAUGCGCCUUGCUUAUCUUGAGCCCUCACUUUGUAAGCGCCUUUGCCUAGGCAAUAGUCUUCACUAUUUGUGCCUUGAGUGCAUGUAGAGCCUUUAAAUACCGAGCAUAGAAUACCAGUUUACUUUCACACGUCUAAAUAUAAAGAUUCAAGUCAAGUGUUGUUUUGAUACUUAUAUAAGCUGGGGACCUGCUAAAGGAAGACUUAAGGUACAUGCCUUUCAUCAUUUUGACUCAACCCAUUAGUCAGAUGAAUUUGGUUAUUUUGGUUAUUUUUUCGUUAUUUUUUUAUAAGUUCUAUCUGAAAAUGAUGUGGGUCAAACGAGAGACUGUAUUUGGUUCUGGUUUGAUGCUUGGGUAGCGGACGUAACUCUUCAGUCUCUCUACCCGGCCUUAUUUCAGCUUGAAACUAAUAAACACUGUACGGUCAAAGAUCACAUCCCCACCACGCCGGAGACUACGGGGUUGACGUGGGUCUGGUCUUAUGAACUGGAUUCCGCUGAUGAGCUGAAUGAACUUUGGGAUUGUUGCAACUGGUUGUUUGGGAUCAACAUCCCUGGUGGGGUUGACAAAUGGAAUUGGUUGGUGGAAUCAUAUGGGGAAUUCUCAGUUAGAAGCUUAAAACGUCUUCUUUAAAGCGAGGUUGUGGUUUCAACUAAUGAUCACUUUGAAUGGGUCAAGUGGUUGCCCAAAAAUGUCAAUAUCUUUACCAUAUUCACCCCUUUUUUCAAGCCUCCUAGACUUGCAAAAUAAUGAUUCAUUUGGUUAUUAUCCUUGCUUGUUGGGUAAUUUGGAAGAAAAGAAACGAAGUGAUCUCUAAUUGCCUGGCUGACCCGGUGAAAAUGUUGAAAGAUGUCAAAGCUUUGGGGUUCUUAUGGGGUGUAUAACGGAGCUAACCUUCUAUCCUUUGAUUGGAACAGUUGGUGUAGCCUUUCAGUUUAUGUAAUCUCUCUGUAUAAUCUCAUGUUGUAUAGCCUUUGUCUUGCUUUUUUCUUAAUAAAUUUGGCUGAUAAAAAAAUAUUUGUGAAGACAUUUAGUGCAGGAUCAAAAUCAUGUGAUGGCUUCAAAGAGGAUUCAUAUACAAUUUACUUUGCUUUUA